RNAcentral lists this ribosomal RNA (261 nucleotides) under Triticum aestivum (bread wheat). RNAcentral's name for it is "partial small subunit ribosomal RNA". Lineage: Eukaryota; Viridiplantae; Streptophyta; Magnoliopsida; Poales; Poaceae. The record is from RNAcentral.
AUGGACAAGAUGCUUGUCUUCUUUAUCCUAAGCGCGUCGCCGGCCGAUAACAACCCCGGCGCCCGCGGCAGCUGGGCGAGGCUUUCCUGGCGGGGCAUGCAGCAGGACGAGAAGCGGCCGGAGGCUGAGCAGCAGCACCAGCAGCAGCUUGGAAAGGGGAAACCGCAGUCGCAGUCGCAGCUUCCGCCGCCGCGUCAGCCGCGGUUCGCGCCGGAGUUCGACGGGAUUGACUGCUUCGAGACCAUCAUCUGGCGUCAGUGA